Molecule: ribosomal RNA, 253 nt
Filed under: uncultured bacterium
Lineage: Bacteria
Description: partial 16S ribosomal RNA
Rfam family: Bacterial small subunit ribosomal RNA
Source: RNAcentral
UACAGAGGUCCCAAGCGUUGUUCGGAUUCAUUGGGCGUAAAGGGUGCGUAGGUGGUGCCGUAAGUCAGGUGUGAAAUCUCGGGGCUCAACCCCGAAACUGCACUUGAUACUGCGGUGCUCGAGGCCUGGAGAGGAGAUUGGAAUUCAUGGUGUAGCAGUGAAAUGCGUAGAUAUCAUGAGGAACACCGGUGGCGAAGGCGGGUCUCUGGGCCGAUACUGACGCUGAGGAGCGAAAGCGUGGGGAGCGAACAGG